Mercenaria mercenaria is the source of this 562-nucleotide long non-coding RNA. RefSeq lists it as uncharacterized. The record is from RefSeq and is a predicted model, not a curated record. NCBI's taxonomy places the organism in Eukaryota, Metazoa, Mollusca, Bivalvia, Venerida, Veneridae. The transcript is spliced from 3 exons.
UUGAAUUUUAGUAGCUUCUAACCUAAAAUGUCAAUAAUAUGAUUUACAGGUUUCACGCUACACCGAAUUUGAUUGUGUUAUUUUUUACAGCGUAAUCAUACAGUAUUUAGUAGUACUGCAGAGGUUAAAGGUUAAAAUUGUGUACAAAACAAGUAGUGAUUGGUCGUUUAGGGUUCAGCGUAGUAAUUUUUGCUAGUGUAGCGGGAGUUUAAUGGAUCAGCGGACUGUACGAUUGAUAGUGAAAGGGGCAGGACUGUUUUCUGUAGGGAACCCUGUUGUUCCAUCCUGGGGCCUUAGACAAUAUUAGAGAUGUUGUGCAUUAUUUAGAAGUCUUACUAACCAGCACAGUACCGCCACGAGUGAGUGAGCCAGUGUGGUAAAGUGGAGACAUUCAUCUCUUGGAUGAAGGUCGAGAUCUCAUGUUUACGAGAUUGUACGUUUACCAGUUUACUGGAUUACACGUUUAAGGAGUUACUGGUUCACUAAUCUACAUUAUCAUUUAGAGACUGAUGAAAUGAUGUAAAGAAGUAUCUAAUUAAAUAAAGUAACUUUAAACUUGUAA